AGCUUUGCGCAGUGGCAAUAUCGUAGCCAGUGAGGUUUAUCCGAGGCGCGAUUAUUGCUAAUUGAAAGACUAAGUUGAUCAAAAAUCACAACUUGGUCAGUUUACAAAAAAAGAUUUUGUACACUGAGUUAAUAUAUCAUCAUCCUGAU
This 149-nucleotide small nuclear RNA is filed under the name Echinops telfairi (small Madagascar hedgehog). RNAcentral describes it as "U4 spliceosomal RNA (ENSETEG00000021373.1)". The stretch from base 1 to 118 matches the Rfam family "U4 spliceosomal RNA". From Rfam's summary of the family: U4 small nuclear RNA (U4 snRNA) is a component of the major U2-dependent spliceosome. Lineage: Eukaryota; Metazoa; Chordata; Mammalia; Afrosoricida; Tenrecidae. The record is from RNAcentral.